Molecule: long non-coding RNA, 104 nt
Organism: Etheostoma cragini (Arkansas darter)
Lineage: Eukaryota; Metazoa; Chordata; Actinopteri; Perciformes; Percidae
Exons: 3
Source: RefSeq, a predicted model, not a curated record
UUUUAGCUAUCUAUGAUUGUUUGAUUGCUAACGUUAGCUCAAAACGCCAUUCAAGUGAUAGCCUUUAUUGUGUUUGAGUGCUAGCUUGUAGCCAGUAGCAGCAG